UGUGUAGUUGGCCUAUAUAAUGGUCUUACUAUCUUUGUGUAAAGGACAGCAACAACAGCUAAUAAACUCUAUUGAUGUUCUCUCCAUUCUUCUUUUCCUUGCUCCCUUAUAUUUGAGUGCAUGCAACUACUCAUUAGAGUUCAAGGAAAAAUAAACAGAAGGGAUUAAAAGAACAAUUAAAUAUCAACAUUGUUAUUCUUCUAAUGUUCCUUUUGUUUAAACAAUAGGAAAAUCAGUAAAAUGUUAUCCCUAUAAAUCAGAAGGUCGCCAACUGAGAUAAGACAGACAAUGCCAUAUACUGUUCCAGCUGCCUUGGGUGUUUCUAGCAACUAAAUUUAUCUGAGAAGUAGUUCUACUUCUAGUUUUACAAGAAGUACAAUGAUAAAAUGUAUUUUUGGAAAAUGAUAAAAAGAAAAAAUCCUACACACCGAAGCUGUUAUUCCACACAAGCGCAAAAACAGAAAUAUUUGGAAGAGGCUUCCUAAAACAGCAACAGCUCAGACAACACGAAGCUGCACACACAACAAAUAUAAGCAUAUCACUGUAUUUGAAAGAGUGAGUUUCC
Molecule: long non-coding RNA, 565 nt
Filed under: Panax ginseng (ginseng)
Lineage: Eukaryota; Viridiplantae; Streptophyta; Magnoliopsida; Apiales; Araliaceae
Description: long non-coding RNA (PGIN_LNC013901)
Source: RNAcentral